RNAcentral lists this long non-coding RNA (362 nucleotides) under Dromaius novaehollandiae (emu). Its description in RNAcentral is "lncRNA (ENSDNVG00000005154.1)". The record is from RNAcentral. Lineage: Eukaryota; Metazoa; Chordata; Aves; Casuariiformes; Dromaiidae.
UUUGGGACUUAGAGUAAAGAAUCUGCCUAUCACCUGGAUGAUGCCUGUCAGCUGAAACCUUUGCCUUGUACAAGAUCAUUUCAGGAGCUGAGACAUUGAAUACAUCCAGACUUGCUGCCAACGUACAAAGAAAAGAUUGUGCUCAGUAAUAUGCUAUUGACAAGAAUCAUACAGCACAGCACUGGCAAUCAGUGAAACACAACACUCAUCAUUGAACAAGAGGGGCUCAGAGCUACUCACAGACCUCAUCAGUACUAAGAAAAUUGGACAUGAGAACGAUAAGCCCUGUGAGCUGAUCUAUUCUUGAUUUUACAGAUCCCUCCAUUUCAUGUGUAUCAUCUGGAAACAGGUGAAAAAGUAGG